Molecule: ribosomal RNA, 372 nt
Filed under: uncultured organism
Description: partial 16S ribosomal RNA
Rfam family: Bacterial small subunit ribosomal RNA
Source: RNAcentral
GUAGGUGGCAAGCGUUGUCCGGAAUUAUUGGGCGUAAAGCGCGCGCAGGCGGUUCUUUAAGUCUGAUGUGAAAGCCCACGGGCUCAACCGUGGAGGGUCAUUGGAAACUGGAGAACUUGAGUACAGAAGAGGAAAGCGGAAUUCCACGUGUAGCGGUGAAAUGCGUAGAGAUGUGGAGGAACACCAGUGGCGAAGGCGGCUUUCUGGUCUGUAACUGACGCUGAGGCGCGAAAGCGUGGGGAGCAAACAGGAUUAGAUACCCUGGCAGUCCACGCCGUAAACGAUGAGUGCUAAGUGUUAGGGGGUUUCCGCCCCUUAGUGCUGCAGCUAACGCAUUAAGCACUCCGCCUGGGGAGUACGGCCGCAAGGCUG